RNAcentral lists this transfer RNA (75 nucleotides) under Bacillus sp. M6-12. Its description in RNAcentral is "tRNA-Asp". It matches the Rfam family "tRNA". From Rfam's summary of the family: Transfer RNA (tRNA) molecules are approximately 80 nucleotides in length. Their secondary structure includes four short double-helical elements and three loops (D, anti-codon, and T loops). Further hydrogen bonds mediate the characteristic L-shaped molecular structure. tRNAs have two regions of fundamental functional importance: the anti-codon, which is responsible for specific mRNA codon recognition, and the 3' end, to which the tRNAs corresponding amino acid is attached (by aminoacyl-tRNA synthetases). tRNAs cope with the degeneracy of the genetic code in two manners: having more than one tRNA (with a specific anti-codon) for a particular amino acid; and 'wobble' base-pairing, i.e. permitting non-standard base-pairing at the 3rd anti-codon position. Lineage: Bacteria; Bacillati; Bacillota; Bacilli; Caryophanales; Bacillaceae. The record is from RNAcentral.
GGUGGAUUCGUAUAAUGGUCAUUACACUCGGCUGUCUACCGAGAAACAGGGGUUCAAUUCCCCUAUCCAUCGCCA